AUUGAACGCUGGCGGCAGGCCUAACACAUGCAAGUCGAACGAGUGGCGGACGGGUGAGUAAUGUCUGGGAAACUGCCUGAUGGAGGGGGAUAACUACUGGAAACGGUAGCUAAUACCGCAUACCAUCAGAUGUGCCCAGAUGGGAUUAGCUUGUUGGUGGGGUAACGGCUCACCAAGGCGACGAUCCCUAGCUGGUCUGAGAGGAUGACGAGCCACACUGGAACUGAGACACGGUCCAGACUCCUACGGUAGGCAGAAGUGGGGAAGAUUGCACAAUGGGCGAAAGCCUGAUGAAGCCAUGCCGCGUGUGUGAAGAAGGCCUUCGGGUUGUAAAGUACUUUCAGCGGGGAGGAGUUACCCGCAGAAGAAGCACAGGCUAACUCCGUGCCAGCCGCUGCGGUAAUAC
RNAcentral lists this ribosomal RNA (406 nucleotides) under uncultured bacterium. Its description in RNAcentral is "partial 16S ribosomal RNA". It matches the Rfam family "Bacterial small subunit ribosomal RNA", at positions 30 to 526 of the family's 1533-position model. The record is from RNAcentral.